UACCCGUGAGGGAAAGUUGCAAAGAACUUUGAAGAGAGAGUUCAAGAGGGCGUGAAACCGCUUAGAAGGAAACGGGUGGAGCCGAUGAUAGUCGGCGGGAUUCAGCGUGUCGCGUUCAAUCGAGCGGCUUGAGAAUGGCAAGUCGCUUGAGCGUUCGUGGCGCGUGCACUUCCUGUCGAUGUGCGUCAGACACGACGACUGUGCUGGACUUGAAGGUGGCGAGAGCCGGCCAAUCUCCGGAUUGGUGUCCUAUCGUCGCACGAUCCCGAGUCGCGGUCGUCGGGUCUUAUUUCUGGCGUCAGCUCAUGCGCGGUAAGUGUCUGCUCUCGAAGGAUUGAACUACUGGGAAUCUGCUUGCAGGCCUCGGUGAUUCUCUUUCGAGUUGUUGGGCGCGGUCCGAGUGGGCGCCAGUCUCUGUCUGAUGAUCAUGUCGGUAAACCCCCCGACCCGUCUUGAAACACGGACCAAGGAGUCUAACAUGUGCGCGAGUCAUUGGGUUUCGAAACUCAAAGGCGAAAUGAAGGUGAAGAUCGGUUCGGCCGAUCGACAUGGGACCCGGAUUUUGACGAUUCCGGAGCACCAUGGUCCCGUCGCGAUUGCAUUGCCAAUGUGGCGGAGAUGGAGCGCACACGUUGGUACCCGAAAGAUGGUGAACUAUGCCUGAGCAGGAUGAAGCCAGAGGAAACUCUGGUGGAGGUCCGUAGCGGUUCUGACGUGCAAAUCGAUCGUCAGACUUGGGUAUAGGGGCGAAAGACUAAUCGAACCAUCUAGUAGCUGGUU
RNAcentral lists this ribosomal RNA (780 nucleotides) under Haliplectus sp. 7I16G4. RNAcentral describes it as "eukaryotic LSU rRNA". It matches the Rfam family "Eukaryotic large subunit ribosomal RNA", at positions 349 to 956 of the family's 3401-position model. The record is from RNAcentral. Lineage: Eukaryota; Metazoa; Nematoda; Chromadorea; Plectida; Haliplectidae.